GAACGGGCCAACGAGUUACGUUAAGUAGCAAGGUUAAGCACUUAAGGUGCGGAGCCGUAGCGAAAGCGAGUUUUAACUGAGCGUUCAGUUACUUGACGUAGACCCGAAACCGGGCGACCUACCCAUGAGCAGGAUGAAGCGAAAGUAAAAUUUCGUGGAGGUCCGAACCCACGAGCGUUGAAAAGCUCGGGGAUGACUUGUGGGUAGCGGUGAAAUUCCAAUCGAGCCCGGAGAUAGCUGGUUCUCCCCGAAAUAGCUUUAGGGCUAGCCUCAAGGUGAGAGAUACGGAGGUAGAGCACUGAAUGUCCUAGGGGGUAUUGCACCUACCGAAGACUAUCAAACUCCGAAUGCCGUCAUCUUAUACUUGGGAGUCAGACUGUGGGUGAUA
This 388-nucleotide ribosomal RNA is filed under the name Clostridioides difficile. RNAcentral's name for it is "partial 23S ribosomal RNA". It matches the Rfam family "Bacterial large subunit ribosomal RNA", at positions 613 to 1000 of the family's 2925-position model. The record is from RNAcentral. Lineage: Bacteria; Bacillati; Bacillota; Clostridia; Peptostreptococcales; Peptostreptococcaceae.